GGACCUUGCGCUAAUAGAUGAGCCUAAGUCGGAUUAGCUAGUUGGUAGGGUAAAGGCCUACCAAGGCGACGAUCUGUAGCGGGUCUGAGAGGAUGAUCCGCCACACUGGGACUGAGACACGGCCCAGACUCCUACGGGAGGCAGCAGUGGGGAAUAUUGGACAAUGGGGGGAACCCUGAUCCAGCCAUGCCGCGUGUGUGAAGAAGGCCUUAUGGUUGUAAAGCACUUUAAGCGAGGAGGAGGCUACCUAGAUUAAUACUUUAGGAUAGUGGACGUUACUCGCAGAAUAAGCACCGGCUAACUCUGUGCCAGCAGCCGCGGUAAUACAGAGGGUGCGAGCGUUAAUCGGAUUUACUGGGCGUAAAGCGUGCGUAGGCGGCCAAUUAAGUCAAAUGUGAAAUCCCCGAGCUUAACUUGGGAAUUGCAUUCGAUACUGGUUGGCUAGAGUAUGGGAGAGGAUGGUAGAAUUCCAGGUGUAGCGGUGAAAUGCGUAGAGAUCUGGAGGAAUACCGAUGGCGAAGGCAGCCAUCUGGCCUAACACUGACGCUGAGGUACGAAAGCAUGGGGAGCAAACAGGAUUAGAUAC
This 586-nucleotide ribosomal RNA is filed under the name Acinetobacter sp. DH31-2. RNAcentral describes it as "bacterial SSU rRNA". It matches the Rfam family "Bacterial small subunit ribosomal RNA", at positions 208 to 785 of the family's 1533-position model. Lineage: Bacteria; Pseudomonadati; Pseudomonadota; Gammaproteobacteria; Moraxellales; Moraxellaceae. The record is from RNAcentral.